Cyprinus carpio (common carp) is the source of this 696-nucleotide long non-coding RNA. RefSeq lists it as uncharacterized. The transcript has 2 exons. NCBI's taxonomy places the organism in Eukaryota, Metazoa, Chordata, Actinopteri, Cypriniformes, Cyprinidae. The record is from RefSeq and is a predicted model, not a curated record.
ACACACACACACACACUCACAGACACACAUAAAAACAUACACAGACACACACACACACAAACCAGACAGUGUGUGCUGCUGAAGUGUCAGUAAUGUGAGUGUUGUGUUGUCUUGCAGUGUGUCUUCCUGCAGGAAAUCAACACCGAGACACUGACUGGAAGGAGCUUUACAAAAAGAAGUAUAAGCAGAGGAAGGAGAAUGAGCGCCGGGGCAGAUGCCGCUUUUUCCCGCCUCACGUGCCUCCGAUUUUCCCGCUCAACCCCGUCCCGUCCUCUCCACUUCCUUUUCCUCUCUAUCCUCCCGGCAUCAUCGGCGGAGAUUACGACCAGGCGCCCGUCAUCCUGCCCCGCCCACGCUUCGACCCCAUUGGCCCGCUCCCGGGUCAUCUGCCAGGAUUGGGCGUUCCCAUUGGCCGACGGAGCCUGAGGCCGGGAGGAAGUCGACCGGCGGACGUCCGGAGAGGUUUCAUUUGAACACUUUAAAAUGCUCAUCUUCCCAAACAGAGCAAGGUCCAAUUAUUUUGAUUGUUUGAUUUUUUUUUUUUUUUUGUGUUCUUCAUUAAUUAAAGCAUUCCUGCGAAAUUCAGACGCGAAUAUUCAUUACAGGAAUAAUUCACCCAAAAACAUUACAGAUGAUGCUUUUUAGAGCAAGAUGUGUUUAAGGCAUAAACAACAUUCAAUAAAAAGUUCAGAAUGA